Long non-coding RNA from Equus caballus (horse), 2881 nucleotides. The record is from Ensembl. NCBI's taxonomy places the organism in Eukaryota, Metazoa, Chordata, Mammalia, Perissodactyla, Equidae.
CAGUGAUCUGGGGCUGGGCCCUGGGGUACACCUGCUGCCCAGGCCUGAAACUGGGGGUCAGCCCAGGCUCCCCCUCCCUCUCCAACCCGCCCAUCCAAUGAGUCACAGGGUUCUAGAACCUCCCUCUCAGAUAUUUGCGUCGAUUACCAAUAUCACUGUCUUAUUUCAGGCUUCUUUCAUUUCUCAUUACACACACUGUGGAAGACACCUGGCUGCUAAUCUCUUCCUUCUCCUCCGAUCCUUCACAGCACACCCAGCCUCACAAGCUGAACGUUCUCUCCUGAUGGUGAAACCUCACACGAUGCCCUUGUCAUCCAAGGGAAGUCCAGGCCUGGGCACAUUCAGAGCCCCCACCUCAGCCCUCACCAGUCCUGGGCUCCAGCUGGGCCCCCAACCCUCUAGUUCCAGGGUGUACUCUGACCCUCGUGUCUUUGCACACGCCAUUCCUUAUAUCCAGAACUCCCUUCCCAACCCCAGUUAUUCGGCUCGUAUUCACUGAGCACCUGUUACGUCCAGGCACCAUUCUAUGCACCAGGGAUACGGUGUGGAACUUGAAUUUUGGUGGGGUAACUGACAGUAAGCAACUCAGAGUGCGCCAGGUGUUGGCGAGCACUACGAUGAGGAGAAUGCUGGAGAACGGGAACACACCUGGGCAGGGUGAGGACCGAGGGCAAGGAGGAGUCAGCCAUAAGGAGACUAAAGAGGAAAGACGUUCCAGGUGGAGGAAAGAGCCCACGCCGAGGCCCCUAAGCAGGAGAGAAAAAGAAGGCCAGUGAAAGGAGAGCGUGGCCAGGGGCUGACAGCCAGGCUUCCUGAGCCGGGCUCCCAGGUUGGGUCCUCUGGCGGGCAGACACUUCCUGCGGGAGACUCGGUGGAUGGUGGUGGAGACGGGAAGAUACGCAGAAUGUGUUCUGGAGGCAGAAGUGAUGAGACUCGCUGCCAAACUGGAUAAGAAGAUGAAGAAAGGGAUCCAGAAGGACUUCAGAUCUGAGGAGCUGCAGGCUGCCCACGCUCCUAUUUGAUGGACAGGAAACUGCAGGGUGCAGAGGAUAUGCAACUUACCCCAGGUCACCCAGUCAUUAAGUUGAAGAGCUGGCUCUUGAACCCAGGACUGCAUUGGAACAUUGACAAUAAUUCUACCUUAGAAAGAAAGAACGCAUAAAAGGACCGGGGCAUCUAUUUUUAGCAGCAGUAAUUUCACAGGUAUCAGGGAACCAGACAGUGAACCGAAUCAACUGAGUCACCUUUCGGGGGUGACUCAUGUUCUGGAUCAAGGUCAACAAGGUUGACUCUCACUAAAAGAGAAGUAAAGCUCUAAAGUCUCCAGGAUUUUUUUUAAAUUUUUUUUUUUUUUUGAGGAAGAUUAGCCCUGAGCUGUUGCCAAUCCGCCUCUUUUUGCUGAGGAAGACUGGCCCUGAGCUAACAUCUGUGCCCAUCUUCCUCUACUUAUAGCUGAGACACCUACCACAGCAUGGCUGGCCAAGUGGUGCCAUGUCUGCACCUGGGAUCUGAACUGGGGAACCCCGGGCCACCGAAGUGGAACGUGUGCACUUAACUGCUGCACCACUGGGCUCACCCCCCAGGAUUUUUUGGUUUUUUUAAGGAAAAAGAAACAAACGAACAAAAAACAGUCACAUCUCUGGUCUUUUAAAAAUAGCUUCAGGGUCAGAUAGAUGCAGUCAGCAUUUCUAACCAUCCAUUUGUCACGUGCACAUGAAUCUUCAGGUCUCAGUCAGACAGAGGUGCUCAGCUGUUUUGAAAUGAGGUGGUAAGAAACACCACCAUUCCGCUUGUAGACACACAGCGUAAGCCGCUGUUUGCAAAGGGCCACCCAGACCAACGCCCUUCAGUAAGUUUCUCCCACAGUCUCGUGUCUCCGUCUAGAAAUCCAGAACGACGGCUGUCGGCUCCCUCUCGCCUGUCCCGGAAUGAGCACAGCUCCCGUCAGAGACGAAGCUAGAUCCCCUUGAUGUGUGGCCCCUGCACGGGAAGGAGGAUACUGACUGCUUCCAGAGUCCAUCUUCCUUGUGCUGAGAGGACAGGGGCUGAUGCGGCCGCUGCGCGCCUGGGGCCCACCCUGUGUCUGGGUCCCUGGGAGAGGCAGAGACGCUUGCCCUCGUGCCUCACAGUCCUGAGCACACAUGAGUCUCAGAGCAUUUGCCACUUGGGUUGAUGGUUCACGUCUAUUUCCCCAAAGAGGGAGCCAGUUCCUCGAGGGCAGGGACCAUGUGGUAUUCAUCUGUGCAGUCCCAAAGCCUGGGCAUGACCGGCACGUACGUCAUAUGCUGACGGCAGGGAGGGAAAAAAAGGCGAGACAGCCAAGAGAUGGACCUGACCCAUAGGCCCACAUACCUCACUCUUUAUAGACUAAGCUGCUCAUCAACUGAUUCACUCACUCGUCCAGCACAGGCUGCGGAGCAUCACUCCUCUGCUUCCUGCUCCCUUUCAGCUCAUCCCCCCUGCACACACUUGUCUCCCUUCCCAAACCUUCUAACCGAAGCUCCGUGCUCUGGCUUAACCCCUCCCCAUUAGGAGAAAAAGCAGAUUAAGGGCUGACCCUUAACAAACUCCACCCUACACACCCGAAACACUCCCAGAGCAGCUCGUUUGCAAGGUCACGGACUUUGCUGUCAGAUCUGGUUCCAACACCCACUCCCCCAGCUCCUAGCCUUUAUGACCUCACAGACGGGAUGGAUCAUUCCUAAAAAGCAGGGUGGCCGUGCGGAUCAGACCACAGCUGAGGGCAGACACUUGCCCAAUCCCAGCUGUCCUCCUUCACCCCAGUGCACGGCCUUGGGGAGCUGGGGGCCAUCUUUCUCUACCAAAGGGAUGCCACGGUGCAGAUUUUAAAGGAACCGCACCCCUCAUCUCCUUUCAUAAU